AGGGGUAUAGCUAAGCUGGGUGUGCGACGGUCUCCAAAACCGUAGGUCGAGGGUUCGAAACCUUCUGCCCCUG
This 73-nucleotide transfer RNA is filed under the name Oscillospiraceae bacterium. Its description in RNAcentral is "tRNA-Trp". It matches the Rfam family "tRNA". From Rfam's summary of the family: Transfer RNA (tRNA) molecules are approximately 80 nucleotides in length. Their secondary structure includes four short double-helical elements and three loops (D, anti-codon, and T loops). The record is from RNAcentral. Lineage: Bacteria; Bacillati; Bacillota; Clostridia; Eubacteriales; Oscillospiraceae.